UGGGGAAUAUUGCGCAAUGGGGGAAACCCUGACGCAGCAACGCCGCGUGAAGGAUGAAGGUUUUCGGAUUGUAAACUUCUUUGAUGAGGGACGAAACAAAUGACGGUACCUCUUGAAUAAGCCACGGCUAACUACGUGCCAGCAGCCGCGGUAAUACGUAGGUGGCAAGCGUUAUCCGGAUUUACUGGGUGUAAAGGGCGUGUAGGCGGGAGUGCAAGUCAGAUGUGAAAAUUAUGGGCUCAACCCAUAACCUGCAUUUGAAACUGUUCUUCUUGAGUGAUGGAGAGGCAGGCGGAAUUCCGUGUGUAGCGGUGAAAUGCGUAGAUAUACGGAGGAACACCAGUGGCGAAGGCGGCCUGCUGGACAUUAACUGACGCUGAGGCGCGAAAGCGUGGGGAGCAAACAGG
RNAcentral lists this ribosomal RNA (407 nucleotides) under uncultured prokaryote. Its description in RNAcentral is "bacterial SSU rRNA". It matches the Rfam family "Bacterial small subunit ribosomal RNA", at positions 355 to 776 of the family's 1533-position model. The record is from RNAcentral.